RNAcentral lists this ribosomal RNA (415 nucleotides) under uncultured microorganism. Its description in RNAcentral is "bacterial SSU rRNA". It matches the Rfam family "Bacterial small subunit ribosomal RNA", at positions 9 to 420 of the family's 1533-position model. The record is from RNAcentral.
GAGUUUGAUCUUGGCUCAGAUUGAACGCUGGCGGCAUGCCUUACACAUGCAAGUCGAACGGCAGCAUGAUCUAGCUUGCUAGAUUGAUGGCGAGUGGCGAACGGGUGAGUAAUACAUCGGAACGUGCCCUGUAGUGGGGGAUAACUAGUCGAAAGAUUAGCUAAUACCGCAUACGACCUGAGGGUGAAAGUGGGGGACCGCAAGGCCUCAUGCUAUAGGAGCGGCCGAUGUCUGAUUAGCUAGUUGGUGGGGUAAAGGCCCACCAAGGCGACGAUCAGUAGCUGGUCUGAGAGGACGAUCAGCCACACUGGGACUGAGACACGGCCCAGACUCCUACGGGAGGCAGCAAUGGGGAAUUUUGGACAAUGGGCGAAAGCCUGAUCCAGCAAUGCCGCGUGUGUGAAGAAGGCCUCGG